This 270-nucleotide non-coding RNA is filed under the name uncultured Roseburia sp. Lineage: Bacteria; Bacillati; Bacillota; Clostridia; Lachnospirales; Lachnospiraceae. The record is from RNAcentral.
GUGGGAAGAAAUCCACACCAUCUCGUGGUUUUACAGAAGCUGUAACAGUUGAUAAAACGGUUGUAUCACCGUAUUUUACUAAUGCAGCGCCAUUUGCCUGUGCACAAACUCUACCGAUAUCUACUGUAAGAGUUCUGCCUGCAAGUUCCAUUGAAAAACUUUUAAACAUAAUUUUCUCCUUUUUGUUGAAAACUCUGGAAUACACUUUCCAAAGCUUUCUCAAUAUAAAAUUUUUUAACAGAAGUCCGAAACUACUGAAACACACACGAA